AUAUAUAUUAUAUGCUCUUGUUUCGUGCUCUUGUUUCGUCUUUUGCAUAUAAUCAUAGGAAUUCUUAAUACGGAUAUUGAGACUUCUACUACUCCGGAUAUUGCUUAUGUACCUGAUCCCGCUUCGGCUUCAUAUCCUAUAACUAACAGGAACUAGCCUACUUUGAUCUCAACUCCAGAACUCCACUUUCCUCGACACGAACCUC
Molecule: long non-coding RNA, 205 nt
Filed under: Musa acuminata (dwarf banana)
Lineage: Eukaryota; Viridiplantae; Streptophyta; Magnoliopsida; Zingiberales; Musaceae
Description: long non-coding RNA (MACU_LNC007861)
Source: RNAcentral